Long non-coding RNA from Cryptotermes secundus, 1290 nucleotides. RefSeq lists it as uncharacterized. NCBI's taxonomy places the organism in Eukaryota, Metazoa, Arthropoda, Insecta, Blattodea, Kalotermitidae. The record is from RefSeq and is a predicted model, not a curated record. The transcript is spliced from 3 exons.
GAGAGAAAAAGAAAUACAACACCCAAAACACAAACAAAAGGAAACCAACAGUCAUGGAAGGAAACCAACAGUCAUGGAGGAAACCAACAGUCAACGUUAGAGUAACCAUUUGGGCUUCGAUCAGUUGUUAGGUUCAAAUACAGGGACUUAUAUUUACUAGAAGUAUAGUACAUACAGGUAGUUACUAUGUAUGUUAUAAUUCAGUGUCCAGUGCAUUUGGGUAAGGAGGUGUUGGACUGAUGUAAAUGAAAUAUUAUGACUUCACAAGCACUCCUAUAAAGCUUUCUCCAGAUAACUAAUUUUGCAGCCCUGACGUUUUGUAAUCCAGAGGCUCAUACCCAUCACUUCACUCAGAACCCUUUCAAAGCACAAAUGGUUAGAAUUGCAAAAUUAUUUACUACUAUUGUUGUGAAGAAGGGUUCAGGGUUUGACGGGGCAGGAUGCAGAAGGUGGUAUAAUAGCAUGCCGUUUUACCGAUCGUGCUCUCGGAGGUGGUGGCCGUUUUGUUGUUAGUUUAAGUGUGCUUAGAGAUGGCAGCAGAAUUACAUUCAAAACGGCGGCCAUUUUGUGCCUGAGUAACAAAGUGUUUCAUGGAGGGAUAACCAUAGCAACCGAUAGCAAGAGCAACAAGAGUAACAGGAGGAAUUACGUAUUCGACGGUGGUUGGAGUUGAAUGUGCUCUUUUGAAUAUUUUGUCGCAGUCUAACACAAAUAAUAAUGGUGGAAGAAAAGGUUAAAAAAUUUAAGCUUGAAACUGAAUGUGAAUUAAGAUUUGAAGUGGAAAGUAAAAAUGAAGAAGUGGUUUUAGAGUAUCCAUCUCCAGUUCAGACCUACAGGACUCAUUCAGUGCCAGCAUUUAGUCACACAUUUAUGGAGGGUGCUGUGGUGAAUACCUGGCAACAGCUGUUUUAUGAUCACCUUGUGAACACGUUUGAAGCUAUUCAUUGGUAGUAUGGUUUGAACAAUAAUCUAACUUUGGGACAGUUUGUAGAUGCCCUGAAGACUAACAUCAUCAGUGCACUUGCUGUCAGAGGUCUGUGUGGAACUAGUUGUCAGAAGAUGAUCAGAGUUCAUUCUGCCCUGUAUCUGAAAAUAAUUAUAUUCAGUAAAGAAUUGUGUGGGAAAUUCUUUUCUGACUGAGAUGGCUCUUGUUUAUGUGUGUCGGUAAGAGUGAAGUGGCAUUACUUUAUAAUUGACUUGCAAUCUUCAGGUUACUUGAUUCAGCUUGAAACACUAAGGAGCAGAAUCAAUGUCAGGAUAUAUUUUGUAAUUAAAUUUAUUAACUACUUC